GUCUAUGGCCACGCCACCCUGAACAAGCCCGAUCUCAUCUGAUCUCAGAAGCUAAGCAGGGUCGGGCCUGGUUAGUACUUGGAUGGAAGACCACCUAGGAAGACCAGGUGCUGUAGGCA
RNAcentral lists this ribosomal RNA (119 nucleotides) under Pteropus alecto (black flying fox). The record is from RNAcentral. Lineage: Eukaryota; Metazoa; Chordata; Mammalia; Chiroptera; Pteropodidae.